RNAcentral lists this transfer RNA (68 nucleotides) under Marmota monax (woodchuck). It matches the Rfam family "tRNA". Rfam says of the family: Transfer RNA (tRNA) molecules are approximately 80 nucleotides in length. Their secondary structure includes four short double-helical elements and three loops (D, anti-codon, and T loops). Lineage: Eukaryota; Metazoa; Chordata; Mammalia; Rodentia; Sciuridae. The record is from Rfam by way of RNAcentral.
GGAGAUAUAGCUCAAUUGGUAGAGUGCUUGCCUCAUGCAAAAGGCCCUGGGUUCAUUCCCCAGCACCA